Molecule: ribosomal RNA, 923 nt
Filed under: uncultured bacterium
Lineage: Bacteria
Description: bacterial SSU rRNA
Rfam family: Bacterial small subunit ribosomal RNA
Source: RNAcentral
AGAGUUUGAUCAUGGCUCAGGACGAACGCUGGCGGUGUGCUUAACACAUGCAAGUGGAGCGACGAACCAGGGCUUGCCCUGGGGCAGAGCCGCGAACGGGUGAGUAACACGUGGGUAACCUACCCCGAUGACCGGGACAACUCGAGGAAACUCGAGCUAAUACCGGAUGUGCUCGCCCCUCAUGAGAGGGGUGAGCAAAGGAAGCUUCGGCCUCCGCAUUGGGACGGGCCCGUGGCCCAUUAGCUAGUUGGUGGGGUAAUGGCCUACCAAGGCUGCGAUGGGUAGCUGGUCUGAGAGGACGAUCAGCCACACUGGGACUGAGACACGGCCCAGACUCCUACGGGAGGCAGCAGUGGGGAAUCUUGCGCAAUGCGCGAAAGCGUGACGCAGCAACACCGCGUGGGGGAAGACGGCCUUCGGGUUGUAAACCCCUUUCAGGAGGGACGAAGGCCGGCCGGUGAAUAGCCGUGCCGGUUGACGGUACCUCCAGAAGAAGCCCCGGCUAACUACGUGCCAGCAGCCGCGGUAAUACGUAGGGGGCAAGCGUUGUCCGGAAUCAUUGGGCGUAAAGCGCGCGUAGGCGGCCCGAUAAGUCCGCCGUAAAAGUCAACGGCUCAACCGUUGAAAGUCGGUGGAUACUGUCGGGCUAGAGUCCGGAAGAGGCAAGUGGAAUUCCUGGUGUAGCGGUGGAAUGCGCAGAUAUCAGGAGGAACACCUAUAGCGAAGGCAGCUUGCUGGGACGGUACUGACGCUAAGGCGCGAAAGCGUGGGGAGCGAACAGGAUUAGAUACCCUGGUAGUCCACGCCGUAAACGAUGAGAACUAGGUGUGGGAGGUGUCGACUCCUCCCGCGCCGUCGCUAACGCAUUAAGUUCUCCGCCUGGGGAGUACGGCCGCAAGGCUAAAACUCAAAGGAAUUGACGG